This 76-nucleotide transfer RNA is filed under the name Massilia violaceinigra. RNAcentral's name for it is "tRNA-Gln". It matches the Rfam family "tRNA". Rfam says of the family: Transfer RNA (tRNA) molecules are approximately 80 nucleotides in length. Their secondary structure includes four short double-helical elements and three loops (D, anti-codon, and T loops). The record is from RNAcentral. Lineage: Bacteria; Pseudomonadati; Pseudomonadota; Betaproteobacteria; Burkholderiales; Oxalobacteraceae.
UGUGGAUUAGCUCAGCUGGUAGAGCACUUGACUUUGACUCAAGUUGUCGCAGGUUCGACUCCUGCAUCCACUGCCA